This 240-nucleotide ribosomal RNA is filed under the name uncultured bacterium. RNAcentral's name for it is "partial 16S ribosomal RNA". It matches the Rfam family "Bacterial small subunit ribosomal RNA", at positions 15 to 252 of the family's 1533-position model. The record is from RNAcentral.
GAUCCUGGCUCAGGAUGAACGCUGGCGGCGUGCUUAACACAUGCAAGUCGAACGGACGAUGAAAAGCUUGCUUUUCAAAGUUAGUGGUGGACGGGUGAGUAACGCGUGGGUAACCUGCCUCACACAGGGGGAUAACAGUUAGAAAUGACUGCUAAUACCGCAUAAGCGCACAGGGUCGCAUGACCUGGUGUGAAAAACUCCGGUGGUAUGAGAUGGACCCGCGUCUGAUUAGCUAGUUGG